CCGUGCUUCUUCACUUCCCAUAUGUGGCAUUGUGCUGUAUGGAAUGUAAAGAAGUAUGGAG
RNAcentral lists this microRNA precursor (61 nucleotides) under Limulus polyphemus (Atlantic horseshoe crab). RNAcentral's name for it is "Lpo-Mir-1-P16_pre stem-loop". Lineage: Eukaryota; Metazoa; Arthropoda; Merostomata; Xiphosura; Limulidae. The record is from RNAcentral.